RNAcentral lists this ribosomal RNA (818 nucleotides) under Entrophospora lutea. RNAcentral's name for it is "eukaryotic LSU rRNA". It matches the Rfam family "Eukaryotic large subunit ribosomal RNA", at positions 1 to 649 of the family's 3401-position model. Lineage: Eukaryota; Fungi; Glomeromycota; Glomeromycetes; Entrophosporales; Entrophosporaceae. The record is from RNAcentral.
AACAAUUGAUCUCAAAUCAGGCAAGAAUACCCGCUGAACUUAAAUAUAAUAAGCGGAGGAAAAGAAACUAACAAGGAUUCCCCUAGUAACGGCUAGUGAAGAGGGAAGAGCUCAAAUUUUAAAUCAGCCUUGUUUACAAGGUUGAAUUGUAGUUUGAAGAAGCGUUUUCUUGGUUGGGCGUAUGUCUGGUAACAAGUUCCUUGGAAUAGGACAUCAUAGAGGGUGACAAUCCCGUUUGUGCCGGCAUGCAUUCAUUUACGAUACCAUCUACGAUACGCUUUCAAAGAGUCGAGUUGUUUGGUAUUGCAACUCCAAAUGGGUGGUAAAUAUCACCUAAGGCUAAAUAUUGGCGAGAGACCGAUAGCGAACAAGUACCGUGAGGGAAAGAUGAAAAGAACUUUGAAAAGAGAGUUAAAAAGUACGUGAAAUUGUUGAAAGGGAAACGUUUGAAGUUAGUGGAACUGGUACAAAAUCAGCUUACGCAUCAAGGCAAUUAGCGCAUUGGCGAGCCUAAAAACCGCCAUAGUCGACAUUCAAUUACUUGUGUGGGGUGCAUUUUUGUAUCGGCUGGUUAACAUCAAUUUUGACUGUCAUAAAAAGGCUAAAGGGGAUCUGGCUCCUUCGGGAGUGUGAUAAACUUUAAGCGGAAUAUGGUGGUCGGGAUUGAGGUUUGCAACGAAUACCUUUAGGGCUGCUCAAACUGGUUUGAUCGCCCCUCUUUAGUUAUCAUAUAUAUGGUGCGUUCCGCUAAUUAUAGGGGUGGUUAGUCAGGUGGUGCAAAUUCGUUAAGGAUGUUAACGAAAUGGCUUUAAACGACC